CUAGCAGUCAAACACGGAAAUGGUUCCACUCAUUUUUCCACCAUUCAUUUGAUUAAUUAUGGAUUUCAGAAACACUUCAAACAAGGGCUGUGUUUUGUGUAGGUUUUGAUAACCGUGUACAUCUCUCUCGGACAAGGUGACUUUUAUCAAUAUAUUCACCAGUAUUUACCCUCCAAAAUUGAAUGCUAAUUAACUGCUAAUGUGGCUAUCAUACAGAACUACAAAUGCAUGUCUCAAGCUUCACGUCACUCACCAGGGCCAUGAUGAUCUGGACGAGACUGCCGAAUCGAGGCAAAGAACCAAUGAGUGUGCCUGAGUCUUAUCCCCUCUCAACUACAACCCGAAGACAUUCAAGCAACACUUUGAGAGCAAGCAUCACAAGUCUCCAGCGGUCCCAGUACUGGUUGAUGUGCAGGUCUAAGUGUCCACACACACUGAAAUGGACCUAUCAGCUGGGACACAAGAUGACCAUGAUUUGAAUGCUGCAACUGAGACGGAAUGAUGUCAUCGGGACACAAGCUGAGACCCUGAGUAUGACUGGACAUGGGCCGGAUAUUAGUGACAAAGACCUAAAAGGGGUGCAGAAGCACACUCAUUUUCUGAUUAUUCCAUGAACAACCAUCUCUCUAGCUAUGCCUCAUUCCACACUAUGCAUUUUAUUCCCCAUGGUCCCUCAACUUCAGACACAUUGAAACUCUCCAUCUUAUCUCUAUAAAUCCACCCUACCUUCACCCAUUUUCCCUAUGCUGCUUCCUUCACUUGUAUAACAUCUAGACUCAGUAACACGUUUAAAGGGGUUGUGGUGUACUGUUUUUGCUACUUCUUUUCACCUGUGUAAUGCUGUCCUCCUCCUGCUUAUUCUGGGGUCCAGACUGAAUGCAGUGGUAAAUGUGCUGCUCACAAUUGACAGCAGCAACAUGGACCUUAAAUUGACAAGAAGGGUGUUGCUAUAGCUUAGGCAUGUCUUCCUUGUUUUGGGUCUGUUAAGUGUGUUUCUCAUUCUGCUGGAGUUGACCUAGUAUUUUACAUAAAACCUACCUUAAACAUUCAGUUUUUCAAAUUCUAACUCACCCACCAACAUCACAAAAUCUGUUUUACAUUUUGUGUUAUUUGUGUUGGUCUAAUACCUCAAAUGGAAAAGCAGAAUAAUGUGUGCGCUAAGAUAGUAAUAAUAAUUCAUUUGGUGCUCUUUUGACGUACCACAUUUGUGUCAUUAAUUCAUAAAUAAUUUAAUGUUUACUUAAAUGUAAAUGCUUAUACACUACCGGUCAAAGGUUUUAGAACACCUACUCAUUCAAGGGUUUUUCUUUAUUUUUACUAUUUUCUACAUUGUGAAGACAACAAAACUAUGAAAUAACACCUAUGGAAUCAUGUAGUAACCAAAAAAAGAGUUAAACAAAUCUAAAUAUAUAAAUUAUAUUUGAGAUUCUUCAAAUAGCCACCCUUUGCCACAAGACCAAAUGUAUAAAUAAGACAAGUAUUAGUUAAAUAAAAUAUGUAACUAAAUGUAAAUGUUCAAUAUAUAUUUUGUUUUGGAUCCAGGUAGCUAGGUGUCAAAGCAAAUGUGUGAACUAGAGAUGAUGUGCAGGAACUUGCAGGGAUUUGUAGUCUUGCAUGAUGUCUGUUUGUGUUGGGUCAAUGUCCUGUUGAAAAACAAAUGAUAUUCCCACUAAUUAGGUUUUUAGAAUCUGAGAGUAAAUCAAGCCUAAUGUAUUGACGGAAGUCACCUUGUCCGAGAGAGAUUUACAUGGUUGUCAAAAACGUCACACCAGGGUAAGCCUACAAAAACGUCACACCAGGGUAAGCCUACAAAAAACGUGUUUCUAAAAUCUACAAUGAAUAAAAUGAAUGGUGGAAAAACAAUUGGAAACAUUUCCGUGUUUGACCGUUAGGUAAUGGGUAUGUGUGGGCUACAGAGAUGGGGUAGGCAUUCAAAAAACAAUUUUAUUGAACACGGAAUGAGUCCAUGCAACUUAUUGUGCGAUUUGUUAAGCACAUUUUAACUCCUGAACUUUAGGCUUGCCAUAACAAACGGUUGAACACUUAUUGACUCUACAAACAUAAUUCCGCUUUGUGUAUAGAUCAGUGACUCAAAAUCUAAAUGUAAUCAAUGUGGGAAAAGUAAAGGGGUGUGAAUACUUUCUGAAGGCAACUGUAUGUCACACUACUUGCCACCCACUGUAUAAAUGUUAUAUAUGUAUUUCUGGGGAGGACAAGAUGUAAUUAUGUUCAUGAAUAAUCAAUGACGAUGAGAGAUUUUGAAGAAUACAGUAUGUGUGUCUCACUAAGAAAAACAGGGUAAAUGUGUUUGGUUAUUAUGCUAUGAUCUAGUUCUAAUACGAAAAUAGGCUAUAUAUCGCUUACCAAGAUCCACAAUAAUAAACAAUACUUGAUUAAACUAUGAUA
Long non-coding RNA from Salvelinus fontinalis (brook trout), 2406 nucleotides. RefSeq lists it as uncharacterized. The record is from RefSeq and is a predicted model, not a curated record. Lineage: Eukaryota; Metazoa; Chordata; Actinopteri; Salmoniformes; Salmonidae. The transcript has 4 exons.